RNAcentral lists this ribosomal RNA (1414 nucleotides) under uncultured bacterium. RNAcentral's name for it is "partial 16S ribosomal RNA". It matches the Rfam family "Bacterial small subunit ribosomal RNA". The record is from RNAcentral.
CCUUAGAGUUUGAUCCUGGCUCAGGAUGAACGCUGGCGGCGUGCAUAACACAUUCAAGUCGAACGGACUUUGUCGGAUUAAUUCUUCGGAAAGCGUACGAUAAAGUUAGUGGCGGACGGGUGAGUAACGCGUGAGCAACCUGCCUUUGAUAGGGGGAUAACAGAGGGAAACUUCUGCUAAUACCGCAUGAUGCAUGGGGAUCGCAUGGAACCCAUGCCAAAGGAGCAAUCCGAUCAAAGAUGGGCUCGUGUCCGAUUAGAUAGUUGGUGGGGUAACGGCCCACCUAGUCAACGAUGGAUAGGGGUUCUGAGAGGAAGGUCCCCCACAUUGGAACUGAGACACGGUCCAAACUCCUACGGGAGGCAGCAGUGAGGAAUAUUGGUCAAUGGGCGAUGGCCUGAACCAGCCAAGUAGCGUGAAGGAUGACUGCCCUAUGGGUUGUAAACUUCUUUUAUAAAGGAAUAAAGUCGGGUACGCAUACCCGUUUGCAUGUACUUUAUGAAUAAGGAUCGGCUAACUCCGUGCCAGCAGCCGCGGUAAUACGGAGGAUCCGAGCGUUAUCCGGAUUUAUUGGGUUUAAAGGGAGCGUAGAUGGAUGUUUAAGUCAGUUGUGAAAGUUUGCGGCUCAACCGUAAAAUUGCAGUUGAUACUGGAUGUCUUGAGUGCAGUUGAGGCAGGCGGAAUUCGUGGUGUAGCGGUGAAAUGCUUAGAUAUCACGAAGAACUCCGAUUGCGAAGGCAGCCUGCUAAGCUGCAACUGACAUUGAGGCUCGAAAGUGUGGGUAUCAAACAGGAUUAGAUACCCUGGUAGUCCACACGGUAAACGAUGAAUACUCGCUGUUUGCGAUAUACGGCAAGCGGCCAAGCGAAAGCGUUAAGUAUUCCACCUGGGGAGUACGCCGGCAACGGUGAAACUCAAAGGAAUUGACGGGGGCCCGCACAAGCGGAGGAACAUGUGGUUUAAUUCGAUGAUACGCGAGGAACCUUACCCGGGCUUAAAUUGCACUCGAAUGAUCCGGAAACGGUUCAGCUAGCAAUAGCGAGUGUGAAGGUGCUGCAUGGUUGUCGUCAGCUCGUGCCGUGAGGUGUCGGCUUAAGUGCCAUAACGAGCGCAACCCUUGUUGUCAGUUACUAACAGGUGAUGCUGAGGACUCUGACAAGACUGCCAUCGUAAGAUGUGAGGAAGGUGGGGAUGACGUCAAAUCAGCACGGCCCUUACGUCCGGGGCUACACACGUGUUACAAUGGGGGGUACAGAGGGCCGCUACCACGCGAGUGGAUGCCAAUCCCUAAAACCCCUCUCAGUUCGGACUGGAGUCUGCAACCCGACUCCACGAAGCUGGAUUCGCAAGUAAUCGCGCAUCAGCCACGGCGCGGUGAAUACGUUCCCGGGCCUUGCACACACCGCCCGUCAAG